GACGAACGCUGGCGGCGUGCCUAAUACAUGCAAGUCGAACGCAUUUUCUUUCACCGUAGCUUGCUACACCGAAAGAAAAUGAGUGGCGAACGGGUGAGUAACACGUGGGUAACCUGCCCAUCAGCGGGGGAUAACACUUGGAAACAGGUGCUAAUACCGCAUAAUUCCAUUUACCGCAUGGUAGAUGGGUGAAAGGCGCUUUUGCGUCACUGAUGGAUGGACCCGCGGUGCAUUAGCUAGUUGGUGGGGUCACGGCCUACCAAGGCUGCGAUGCAUAGCCGACCUGAGAGGGUGGUCGGCCACACUGGGACUGAGACACGGCCCAGACUCCUACGGGAGGCAGCAGUAGGGAAUCUUCGGCGAUGGACGCAAGUCUGACCGAGCAACGCCGCGUGAGUGAAGAAGGUUUUCGGAUCGUAAAACUCUGUUGUUAGAGAAGAACAAGGAUGAGAGUGGAAAGUUCAUCCCUUGACGGUAUCUAACCGGAAAGCCACGGCUAACUACGUG
This 507-nucleotide ribosomal RNA is filed under the name uncultured bacterium. RNAcentral describes it as "partial 16S ribosomal RNA". It matches the Rfam family "Bacterial small subunit ribosomal RNA", at positions 28 to 507 of the family's 1533-position model. The record is from RNAcentral.